This 21-nucleotide non-coding RNA is filed under the name Arabidopsis thaliana (thale cress). Lineage: Eukaryota; Viridiplantae; Streptophyta; Magnoliopsida; Brassicales; Brassicaceae. The record is from RNAcentral.
UGUAUGUCACCAUUCAUAGCC